AGUCACUGACAUUAGAUACCCCUGUAGUCCAGGGUGUAAACGCUGCAGACUUGGUGUUGGGGGCCCUUUGGGGGCAUUCAGUGCCGGAGAGAAGUUGUUAAGUCUGCUACUUGGGGAGUACGUCCGCAAGGAUGAAACUUAAAGGAAUUGGCGGGGGAGCACCGCAACGGGAGGAGCGUGCGGUUUAAUUGGAUUCAACACCGUAAAACUCACCAGGGAAGACUGUUACAUGAAGGCCGAGAUGAAGACUCUGCUAGAUUUUCAG
RNAcentral lists this ribosomal RNA (265 nucleotides) under uncultured archaeon. RNAcentral describes it as "partial 16S ribosomal RNA". It matches the Rfam family "Archaeal small subunit ribosomal RNA", at positions 718 to 982 of the family's 1478-position model. The record is from RNAcentral.